Long non-coding RNA from Pollicipes pollicipes, 230 nucleotides. RefSeq lists it as uncharacterized. The transcript has 3 exons. The record is from RefSeq and is a predicted model, not a curated record. NCBI's taxonomy places the organism in Eukaryota, Metazoa, Arthropoda, Thecostraca, Pollicipedomorpha, Pollicipedidae.
CACAGUCGCAAGCAGAUCGAGUGUCGGACGCCGGACGGGAAGCGGCGCAUCACGCCCAUGUUCGUCCCGAGCCAGGACGUGGCGACGGAGGGCCCGGCUCCGUUCGCCUCGGAGCGGCCCUUCACCAGCUCCUCCGGCACCAGUCCGUCGGUGAUGGUGGAGAAGAGGGACCAGGUGGUCACGCCCCAGAUCUCUGACGUCACGCCGGCGGACCGGCAGCUGAGCGGCGC